Molecule: ribosomal RNA, 303 nt
Filed under: uncultured bacterium
Lineage: Bacteria
Description: partial 16S ribosomal RNA
Rfam family: Bacterial small subunit ribosomal RNA
Source: RNAcentral
AGCAGCAGCCGCGGUAAAACGUAGGUCCCGAGCGUUGUCCGGAUUUAUUGGGCGUAAAGCGAGCGCAGGCGGUUAGAUAAGUCUGAAGUUAAAGGCUGUGGCUUAACCAUAGUACGCUUUGGAAACUGUUUAACUUGAGUGCAAGAGGGGAGAGUGGAAUUCCAUGUGUAGCGGUGAAAUGCGUAGAUAUAUGGGGGAACACCGGUGGCGAAAGCGGCUCUCUGGCUUGUAACUGACGCUGAGGCUCGAAAGCGUGGGGAGCAAACAGGAUUAGAUACCCGAGUAGUCCCUGUCUCUUAUACA